AUUGAACGCUGGCGGCAGGCCUAACACAUGCAAGUCGAACGGUAACAGGAAACAGCUUGCUGUUUCGCUGACGAGUGGCGGACGGGUGAGUAAUGUCUGGGAAACUGCCUGAUGGAGGGGGAUAACUACUGGAAACGGUAGCUAAUACCGCAUAACGUCGCAAGACCAAAGAGGGGGACCUUCGGGCCUCUUGCCAUCGGAUGUGCCCAGAUGGGAUUAGCUAGUAGGUGGGGUAACGGCUCACCUAGGCGACGAUCCCUAGCUGGUCUGAGAGGAUGACCAGCCACACUGGAACUGAGACACGGUCCAGACUCCUACGGGAGGCAGCAGUGGGGAAUAUUGCACAAUGGGCGCAAGCCUGAUGCAGCCAUGCCGCGUGUAUGAAGAAGGCCUUCGGGUUGUAAAGUACUUUCAGCGGGGAUGAAGGGAGUAAAGUUAAUACCUUUGCUCAUUGACGUUACCCACAGAAGAAGCACCGGCUAACUCCGUG
RNAcentral lists this ribosomal RNA (490 nucleotides) under uncultured bacterium. RNAcentral's name for it is "partial 16S ribosomal RNA". It matches the Rfam family "Bacterial small subunit ribosomal RNA", at positions 30 to 507 of the family's 1533-position model. The record is from RNAcentral.